RNAcentral lists this ribosomal RNA (754 nucleotides) under uncultured bacterium. RNAcentral's name for it is "bacterial SSU rRNA". It matches the Rfam family "Bacterial small subunit ribosomal RNA", at positions 149 to 917 of the family's 1533-position model. The record is from RNAcentral.
GUCCGAAAGGAUCGCUAAUACCCCAUGUGCUCAUAAGGAUUAGAUGCCUAAUGACUAAACGGAUUUAUUCGCUUCGGGAGGGGCCUGCGUCCCAUCAGCUAGUUGGUAAGGUAAUGGCUUACCAAGGCGAUGACGGGUAGGGGACCUGAGAGGGUGGCCCCCCACAAUGGAACUGAAACACGGUCCAUACACCUACGGGUGGCAGCAGUAGGGAAUAUUGGUAAUCUGGGAAACCGGGAACCAGCAACGCCGCGUGCGCGAUGAAGGCCUUCGGGUUGUAAAGCGCUUUUUGAGGGGAUGAGGAAGGACAGUACCCUCAGAAUAAGCCUCGGCUAACUACGUGCCAGCAGCCGCGGUAAAACGUAGGAGGCGAGCGUUAUCCGGAUUUACUGGGCGUAAAGCGUGUGUAGGCGGUUUGAUAAGUUGGAUGUGAAAGCUCCCGGCUCAACUGGGAGAGGUCGUUCAAAACUAUCAGACUCGAGAGUGGUAGAGGGAGGUGGAAUUCCGCGUGUAGUGGUGAAAUGCGUAGAUAUGCGGAGGAACACCAGUGGCGAAAGCGGCCUCCUGGCCCAUUUCUGACGCUCAGACACGAAAGCUAAGGUAGCAAACGGGAUUAGAGACCCCGGUAGUCUUAGCUGUAAACGAUGUGAACUUAGUGUCGGUGGGGUUAAAUCCAUCGGUACUGAAGCUAACGCGAUAAGUUCACCGCCUGAGGAUUACGGCCGCAAGGUUAAAACUCAAAAGAAUUGACGGA